Glycine soja is the source of this 1362-nucleotide long non-coding RNA. RefSeq lists it as uncharacterized. The transcript is spliced from 6 exons. The record is from RefSeq and is a predicted model, not a curated record. Lineage: Eukaryota; Viridiplantae; Streptophyta; Magnoliopsida; Fabales; Fabaceae.
AAUUUGUGACUCCUCAUUACUCUGCGCCAUACCCUCACUACGUCCGUCUGCCUUCUUUUCUUCAUACCCUCCCACUUUGCACACUGACCAUACCCUAAGUGUAUCCUCCAUUACGUAGCUUCCACUGGUCGACCCACCAUACCCUCACACUUGUAGACCCACCGUUCCUCUGCCAUCCUUUCUUGAAGCUUCACCCUUUUCUCUGUUUCACGAAAUUCCCAACCUUUCUCCACCACCCUGUCCAAUAACUUCCAUUCCCUCCUUCACCCAUCUCCCAACAAGCUGAUUCUGCUUCAAACCAAUUUUAUGAAUUCAUCAUUGACUUCUAGAUUCGGGUUUUCUUCAACGGCCUCGCAUGAGCAUGCAAGCGAAGAAGCAAAGGUAUGUGAUCAGUCUGAACAAGUUGAAGCCGCGGAUCAAACCAAAGAAUCAGGGUUGAACAAGGAGUCUGAGGCUUUUGCAGAAAAGCUUUUUGAUACUCUUGCUAGGCAGAGAGGUAUUCAGGGGGGUUCCAUUAACAAGAUCCAGUAGAAGGAAUUCUGGGAUCAUAUUUCUGACCAGAACUUUGUUACUAGGCUCAAAACAUUCUUUGACAUGGUUGAUAAAGAUGCAGAUGGCAAAAUCACCGAGGAAGAAAUUAAAGAGGUACAGUACAAAAUAAUUAAUUCACCACUAACUGUUUGGCCAUAUUUUAUUUGGAAAAAAAUAGAUAGACAACCCUGGAGAUGCUCUUGUUGCAUGGACCAGAGGAAACUACAAGAGGAAAAAAAAUAGAUACACAACCUUGGGAUGAAGUUCUUGUUGCAUGGGGAGGACAAGGAAGGUGUUUUGGCGCAGGUUUUAGUUAUUUUCUGGGGGUUUUCCCAUGCUAUUAAAAAAAAAAACACCUUCUGGACAUGAAGAAUCUGCACAAUAACAACUAGGUGGUGAUAUCAGCUGGUGCUUAACAAAGAUUUCUACAUCGAUCGUAAAAGGAUCGUCGUAGAACACGUGAUAAACUACAUCGGUCUUAAAAUGAUCGUCGUAGAACACAUGAGAAACAAAGUUGUGCUUAAGCCAACAACGAUGUAGAAAGCAGUGCUUUCUACAUUGGUGUUGUUGUAGGCACGACUUCCUUUGUGACGUGUUUCUAAGACGGUCCUUUUACGACCGAUGUAGAAACAUCCACCCUCUACAACGACAUUAGAUUUAAAGACACACGUCCACCGUCGUAGAAAUGCCAAUUCCACCGAUGUAGAACGCUAUUUUUCUAGCAGUGUCUUUAUCUUUCUGCAUCUUUUAUUUUAAAUUUCUUAUCUCUUUCUUGUAGAUUGGAUUUGCUUUAAUCUAAAUAUAACAAAGUUCUCGUAGAUUCGAUACUCA